RNAcentral lists this ribosomal RNA (414 nucleotides) under Archotermopsis wroughtoni. RNAcentral describes it as "partial 16S ribosomal RNA". Lineage: Eukaryota; Metazoa; Arthropoda; Insecta; Blattodea; Termopsidae. The record is from RNAcentral.
CGCCUGUUUAACAAAAACAUCUCUUCCUGCAUAACCAAUGAUGACCUGCCAACCUGAUUUUUUUUGAAGGGCCGCGGUAUUUUGACCGUGCAAAGGUAGCAUAAUCAUUAGUCUUUUAAGUGUGGGCUGGAAUGAAUGGUUUGACCAGACGUUAGCUGUCUCUUUUUAAUUUAUUGAAUUUGGGUUUUAGGUAAAAAUACCUAAAUGUAUUUAUGGGACGAGAAGACCCUAUAGAGUUUUAUAUUAUUGGGAAUGUGAUUAAUGUUUUGUUUGGUUGUUUUAUUUUUUGUUUUAUUUUGUUGGGGCGAUUAGGAGAUUUAACUAACUCUUCUUUUUUUUUUCUAUUUAUUUGUAGUUUUUUGAUCCUUUUAUUAUUGAUUAUAAGAUUAAAUUACCUUAGGGAUAACAGCGUAA